GGAAAAUGCCUCUCCCGUUCUCUCUUCCCUCUCUAAAUAUGCUCUCGUUGAAUCUCUCAUCUCUCUCUAAAACCAGAUAGAAUGUAAAUCUCUUCAAUCUCCUCCUCUCGAGCAGGAGAAUGGAAAAGGAGUCCACCUCACUAAAGACAAGCACAAAGGCAAUGAAAGGUUUUUUCUCUCUCUAAAAUAUGGUUCCAAUAGCGGUUUUUCUCCAACCAGGAUUGGGACGUAUGAGUAUUGAAUGGCCUUUUCUCUCUCUAAAAUAUAGUUCUAAGGGUUUUCCUCCAACCUAAACUGGGGCACAAGAGUUCUGAAAGGAAUUUUCUCUCUCUACAAUCAGGUUCGAUGGAGAUUUUCUAUCGAAAACAAGGGCACAGAUUUUUAUCUAGCAUGUACUCUAUCUCUCCACCUCUCGCUUUCUUCUCUCUUCUCUCCCAUCGCCUCUUCUAUUUUCUCUUCUCUCCCAUUGCCUCUUCUAUGGACUAUCCAAUUUCGUUAUCUAUCUUCUCUCUUCCCUCUUUCCCCUCAAAAAAUGAGAGAAAUACUCAAAUAUACCACUGUGAAUCUUCUCCACAAAGGCCUCCCCUGAAUUUUAUUUUACGUAGGACACUUACCGAUUGGCGUUUACAUCUAUUACUCUUAUCUUCCUCUCGUUUUUCUCCAUAUCUGUUACAAAAUGGAGCUUUUAUCUAAGAUGAGAUAUUUAGUGAUUAAUAUUUUGAUUGAAAGUUAUGGAUUCCAUUGAACUUUGUAGGUUUUCAUUCAAAGUUUGAAGAUUUUUUUUGCCCUUGCACGACAGGAUUUGCAAUUUGCAGGUACGUCUGUUUUUCUUUUCUUUUUUCUUUUUUUCUGAAAUUUUAUGAUAUAUUGUCGAUUUUUUUGAUACACUUUUGUUUUCUUGCAGUGAAAUUUAUGGAAAAUGAAUAAUUUCUUGCAAAGAUUUUGACUGUCGAUAUUAAUUGUUUUCUUUAUUUUUGACAUGAUGUGGAUUUUCCUAAAAAUUCUGGGGGCACAUGCUUUUAUUUUUGGCUUAUAAAUUGCUUAGAAAACGAACAUAUUUAUGUGGUAUCCGUUUCUUUAUAUUUAAGAAAUAAUUAUAUGGAAUUAUCGAUGAUCAGUUUUUUUGGAUGCAUGCUCAUUGAUUUUGCUAUUUAUUGGAGUCAUGUGGUACUUGUAAAUCCUGAAUGUAAUUUUCAAAACAAAAAAUUGUUGAUGAGAAUGCCCAAAUUUCAUUUUGGUUGAAUAAGUUGAAUCAUCAUCUCUGCGUUCCUAGGAGUUUUUAGUUGAGCACAUUUUGUGCCCUCAAUGUCUAAUUGCAUGGUUGUAGGCCCCUACUGGCUAUGGCAGGCAGUAUGCUUGUUUUUGCCAUUCAAACAUUUAACAUGAUGCCUGCAUCCAAGGAGGUUAACCAUACACUUACUUGUUCAGUUUUCGGGACCUCAAAAGUGUUCCUGUCAGGAUUUGGCACACCUCGAAGGCGUCUAUGGGGGAAUUAAUAUGCUUAACAAUAGAUGAAAGUUGGGUUUCCCCACGGGCUUGUCCCUCACUUCAUUAGCCAUUACCCAUUCUUUUUAUUUUCAAGUUCAAUUGGUUAUUCAACUCUCAUGUAAUGGUUAUCCGGCUUUGAUUUGUUUCACAUUAACAUGAUUUUAGGGGCUGCUUCUUCUUGUAAUCGUGCCGGUGCAAAUGUUGAAACAUGUAAAGAUCUUAAUUGGACCAAGCAUACUUACAGGAACAACAACGCCUAAAUUUGGAACAACCCACAUUCUGCAAGAAUAUAAUUGAAACUGGGAGUAAAAUACAUUUGUCGUAUUAAACUGAGCUAAAAUUUCUCCUCUAUCUCUCUUGAUGGGGAACUUUGUGUCACAAAGUAUAUGGUUGAUGUAAAUAGACCCGAUCUAGAUUGCAUCCCAUCAUGAACAGAACCUCUAUU
Molecule: long non-coding RNA, 1933 nt
Filed under: Amborella trichopoda
Lineage: Eukaryota; Viridiplantae; Streptophyta; Magnoliopsida; Amborellales; Amborellaceae
Description: long non-coding RNA (ATRI_LNC003465)
Source: RNAcentral